UGCCUAUCAAUAAGCGGAGGAAAAGAAACUAACAAGGAUUCCCCUAGUAGCGGCGAGCGAAGCGGGAAAAGCUCAAAUUUGUAAUCUGGCGUCUACGACGUCCGAGUUGUAAUCUCGAGAAGUGUUUUCCGUGAUAGACCGCAUACAAGUCUCUUGGAACAGAGCGUCAUAGUGGUGAGAACCCAGUACACGAUGCGGAUGCCUAUUACUUUGUGAUACACUUUCGAAGAGUCGAGUUGUUUGGGAAUGCAGCUCAAAUUGGGUGGUAAAUUCCAUCUAAAGCUAAAUAUUGGCGAGAGACCGAUAGCGAACAAGUACCGUGAGGGAAAGAUGAAAAGCACUUUGGAAAGAGAGUUAACAGUACGUGAAAUUGUUGGAAGGGAAACACAUGCAGCCAGACUUGCUAUUCGGGGCAACUCGAUUGGCAGGCCCGCAUCAGUUUUUCGGGGCGGAAAAGCAUAGAGAGAAGGUAGCAAUUUCGGUUGUGUUAUAGCUCUUUAUUGGAUUCGCCCUGGGGGACUGAGGAACGCAGCGUGCUUUUAGCAUAAGCUUCGGCUUAUCCACGCUUAGGAUGCGGGUGUAAUGGCUGUAUAUGACCCGUCUUGAAAACACGGACCA
RNAcentral lists this ribosomal RNA (618 nucleotides) under Sporobolomyces roseus. RNAcentral's name for it is "eukaryotic LSU rRNA". It matches the Rfam family "Eukaryotic large subunit ribosomal RNA", at positions 37 to 668 of the family's 3401-position model. The record is from RNAcentral. Lineage: Eukaryota; Fungi; Basidiomycota; Microbotryomycetes; Sporidiobolales; Sporidiobolaceae.